GUAUCGUCCACCAGGCCUUUACUCUCAGUUUUCGGAUCAGUUCUCAGACUUCUUAUCUGAUUUGGUGUUAAACACUGACAAGGUUAUUAUAAUGGGGGGUUUUAACAUUCAGGUUGACACUGAAUGUGAUAACCUUAAUGUAGCCUUUAAAACUAUCCUAGAUUCAAUUGGUUUUGCUCAAAAUGUGCAUAAAUUGAGGCACUCUUGCCUUUAUACUUUGGACUUUGUGCUGACAUAUGGGAUUGAUUGUAAUGUUAUGCCAUAAGUACGCCAUGAUAAAUAAUUGAUCUCAGAUUGGAUCCUGAACUGUAGGGAAGAGGUGACAAAAAGAAUUCACUCCUGCUGCAACAUGAGACCCUCAAGGCUUGGACGGCCCCUCCUUCUCUCACCAGGGGUCCUGCUGUGAUAACACCUUCCUCCGAGAUCUCUUCAGCUCUCUUCUGCAGACCUCUCUUCAGCAUUCUUCUGCAGACUUCUUCAGCUCUACAGCAGCUCUCUCAGAGCAGACAAAGAAGGCCUGAACCAUGAGGGCCUGGUCGGCCCUGACCGACACACAAGCCAGCAGCUGAGGGAAGGUGCCUAAACCAGCCACGCUUGAUCCAGGGUCUGCUAAUGUCGUCUGCCGGCUUCAGCAGAGGACCUGACUGAAUCGGAAUGAACAACACACAAAAUACAGAGCUAAGUUGCUGUCCUAACUUCACAAUCAGAUGCAGGGGCAAAGAUCCUGCAUGCGAAACAGCUCUGUGUAUUUUUCCUCAGCCUGUACAAGGAAGCGAACCCCGAUGGAGCUGUAGGCUGGAUGCUGAGGAAAACCCCUGCUCAAAUCGGACUGCAUCCUGGUCAAAGAAUGUGGCCUCCAAGCUAUCCAGACCACGCCGUUAGCCACAUGCUGCUGCAAGGCUAACGUUAGCAUGCAAAGAGGCACACCAACAACUUCCUCCUUCAACGCUCCUCCCGUGAAUGGCCAAAACUGGACGGAACUGACAAAGGACAGAGACUUCCUGUGUGGAUUGCAUCUCUUCUCCACACGGCUGAACGUCUCAGAAGUGAUCAUGCUCGACGCAAGAAGGUGUACCGUCUCCUGCAGAGAAAACUGAGGUCUCAUGGUGUUGGUGUUAAGGAGAGUCAGUAUCAGCCCACCUACGUUUACCCUAAGGAAGUGAAAAUGUUGAUGCGCUCUGCUUUUCCAAAGGGCAUCUGUAACUACCCUAACCCUGACCAUGAUCAUGUGGUGUAUAUCACUGUGGAGGAUCUCCGUAACAUUGAAAACAACUGACGUUUUUGCCUUUCCCCCCUAUAUUGUGUUUGGAUGAGAAGAAAUUGGUUCUGUGGGGGGAGCAGGUUUAGUUGUUGGGUUCACUUGUUGGCACAUUUUAAGUUGUUCAAUCUUGAGACAUUUUUUUUGUCUUUGUGAUUUAAGUAAAAGAACACAACAAAGUUACUGCUUUAUGUUUCAUCUUUAACUGUUCCUCUUUCUGAAAGAUUUUUCCUAUUGGUAUUAAAAAUCAUUGCAAAAAAAAAUGUUCAUGCACAGUUCACCUUAAAGUUUUGGUUUAUUUUCCUUGGCUUCUUGGACAAUGUUGUGCAAUGACCUACUUAUAAGUUACUCAACGUACCUCAGUCUGCCAGGUAUUGUCCUGUGAAUAUCAGUCCAAUUUAGCUUGAUAUUAGAACAAUAUGUAAAAUAGGGAUUCAAGCCCUAGCAUUCUUAAAGAACUAUAUACACACAAAAGAACAAAUAAAAAAAUCUUUGAAAACCAUUGUAAAAAAAUAUUCAAUGAUUUUAAAGUUAAGCGAGGAUCUUUAAUUUAGAGAACAAAAGUACAUCUUAUGAUUUUGAAAUUAGCUUUACUAAUUUAGAACAACUGGCAUGUGUUCAAACUUUCACAAACAUUAUUUGAGAAAAUAAUACUUCAAAGAAUGAUUUGCUAAAUUAAAAAUCAAUAACCUUUAGGAUACUUGAUUUUUAAUCAGUGUAAUCAUUUUUCCAUAAAUAAAUUAGAUUUGGACUGGUAACUUCAGACGGUGAAGAGAAGCUUAAAUAGGAAGGGCAACUGGAAGUUAUGUCGGAAGAAAGUGAAACUGUCAUGAUCCCCAGGUGUUAGACUGCACAGUACCCAGAAACCUAAAUCAGAAAUCAGAAAUACUUUAAUAAUCCCACAGGGAAAUUAUGUUUGUUAAACGCUAAAAAGAGUCAGUUGUGUUUUUUUCACCUUUUUAAUAUUGUUUAUUAGUCUGUAGAUUCUCUUCUUUCCUUCUUGUUUCCUGUUUAGGAUGUAGUUAGUUUACUGUUUAUGGAUUUAGUUAGUGUGUGUUUGUUAGAUCUUUGUUUUCCUGCCUGUCAUUAGUUCAGUUAGUUGUUAGUUUCUUUUUAGCGUCUGUUUAUUUAUUGUGUUUUUUUUUUUAUCCUUGUUCAACUGCUUACAUGUCUAAUGUAUUUUCAGUGCAAAUCUGUUGUGAAAAACAGAAAGGUGAAGUGAAUUUCUGUAUUAAUGUUCUAUAGAACAGAAAUAGAUAUCAAAUAUGUUUGUCUUAGGUAAGCACCUUGUUUGGUGCAGGGUUUUGGGGGCCUUAAAACAUCCUGGACAAGUUGCAGUCACAGAGUGAACAGAAACCCACUCACACCAAACUGAAUAGAACAGAACCCUUAAUCUUGACUACUGGCAUCAGUAAGACUUUACUCAGCAUCUCUUCUUCCUUUUUAAACCCCUGAGCUCCUAUAUUCAUUGCUUUUGAACACUUCAGAAUGUGUGAUGAUCUUGGCACUGGUGCUGGUCUGAUCAUAACUCAGCACACCUGCCCUGCUCCACCCUGCCUGCAAUCACCCCUCACCGGUUCCACCUGUUCUCACCAGCAUAAAACCUGCCGUCUGACCAGCCACCAGGGCAGAUUGUCUCAAGCCACCCGCCCCGAACGGACUCUCUGUCUGCCUGUUAGCCACUCAACGGCCUCAGCCCUGAAAGCCUGGCCCGAAGUCGGAUCCCCACUCCAGACCUGUUUGCUGACCUCAAGCCGGUUCCCCAGGCUCAGGAGCCCCACCACCAGGGGAUUUCCAGCCCAGGAGCGAGCAGCGUGCUCCGAUUGCCAGCCUCUGUUUGUCUUUUAAUAAAACGUGUUUGAAACGUCA
Molecule: long non-coding RNA, 3127 nt
Organism: Fundulus heteroclitus (mummichog)
Lineage: Eukaryota; Metazoa; Chordata; Actinopteri; Cyprinodontiformes; Fundulidae
Exons: 6
Source: RefSeq, a predicted model, not a curated record